RNAcentral lists this ribosomal RNA (468 nucleotides) under uncultured bacterium. RNAcentral describes it as "partial 16S ribosomal RNA". It matches the Rfam family "Bacterial small subunit ribosomal RNA", at positions 28 to 507 of the family's 1533-position model. The record is from RNAcentral.
GACGAACGCUGGCGGCGUGCUUAACACAUGCAAGUCGAACGGAAAGGCCCUGCGUUUGUUUGUUGCUCGAUUGGCGAACGGGGGAGUAUCACGUGAGUAACCUGCCCUUGACUGUGGGAUAACUUCAGGAAACUGGGGCUAAUACCGGAUAUGAUCUCCUGCUGCAUGGUGUUGGUUGGAAAGAUUCGGCGGUUGGGGCUGGACUCGCGGCUUAUCAGCUUGUUGGUGGGGUAGUUGCUUACCAAGGCUUUGACGGGUAGCCGGCCUGAGAGGGUGACCGGCCACCUUGGGACUGAGAUACGGACCAGACUCCUACGGUAGGCAGCAGUGGGGAAUAUUGCACAAUGGGCGGAAGCCUGAUGCAGAAACGCCGCGUGCGGGAUGACGGCUUUCGGGUUGUAAACAGAUUUCGACUGUGCCGAAGAGUGAGUGACGGUAAUGAGUAAAGAAGCAACGGCUAACUACGUG